RNAcentral lists this ribosomal RNA (377 nucleotides) under uncultured eukaryote. RNAcentral's name for it is "partial 18S ribosomal RNA". It matches the Rfam family "Eukaryotic small subunit ribosomal RNA", at positions 592 to 976 of the family's 1831-position model. The record is from RNAcentral.
CAAUAGCGUAUAUUUAAGUCGCUGCAGUUAAAAAGCUCGUAGUUGGAUUUCGGGUGGGAAUGGCCGGUCCGCCGUUUCGGUGUGCACUUGCUACGCCCACCUUGCUGCCGGGGACGUGCUCUUGAGUUCACGCUCGGGACACGGAGUCGGCGAGGUUACUUUGAGUAAAUUAGAGUGUUCAAAGCAGGCCUACGCUCUGAAUACAUUAGCAUGGAAUAACACGAUAGGACUCUGGCCUAUCUUGUUGGUCUGUGGGACCGGAGUAAUGAUUAAGAGGGACAGUCGGGGGCAUUCGUAUUUCAUUGUCAGAGGUGAAAUUCUUGGAUUUAUGAAAGACGAACUACUGCGAAAGCAUUUGCCAAGGAUGUUUUCAUUAA